Non-coding RNA from Podarcis lilfordi (Lilford's wall lizard), 75 nucleotides. NCBI's taxonomy places the organism in Eukaryota, Metazoa, Chordata, Lepidosauria, Squamata, Lacertidae. The record is from the annotation of a GenBank genome assembly.
ACCCUGGAAAGCUCACCUGGUUAGAGUGUGGUGCUGAUGAUGCCAAGGUUGCAGGUUCAAUCCUUGUAUGGGGCA